RNAcentral lists this ribosomal RNA (1816 nucleotides) under Dermacentor andersoni. RNAcentral's name for it is "small subunit ribosomal RNA". It matches the Rfam family "Eukaryotic small subunit ribosomal RNA". Lineage: Eukaryota; Metazoa; Arthropoda; Arachnida; Ixodida; Ixodidae. The record is from RNAcentral.
UACCUGGUUGAUCCUGCCAGUAAUCAUAUGCUUGUCUCAAAGAUUAAGCCAUGCAUGUCUAAGUACAUGCCGAAAUAAGGCGAAACCGCGAAUGGCUCAUUAAAUCAGUUAUGGUUCCUUAGAUCGUUUCUUCCUACUUGGAUAACUGUGGCAAUUCUAGAGCUAAUACAUGCAGUGAGCCUGAAGCCCUUUGGGCGACGGGUGCUUUUAUUAGACCAAGAUCGAUCGGGUUUCGGCCCGUAUUGUGUGGUGACUCUGGAUAACUUUGUGCUGAUCGCAUGGCCACGAGCCGGCGACGUUUCUUUCAAGUGUCUGCCUUAUCAACUUUCGAUGGUAGGUUACUUGCUUACCAUGGUUGUUACGGGUAACGGAGAAUCAGGGUUCGAUUCCGGAGAGGGAGCCUGAGAAACGGCUACCACAUCCAAGGAAGGCAGCAGGCGCGCAAAUUACCCACUCCCGGCACGGGGAGGUAGUGACGAAAAAUAACAAUACGGGACUCUUUUGAGGCCCCGUAAUUGAAAUGAGUACACUCUAAAUCCUUUAACGAGGAUCAAUUGGAGGGCAAGUCUGGUGCCAGCAGCCGCGGUAAUUCCAGCUCCAAUAGCGUAUACUAAAGCUGCUGCGGUUAAAAAGCUCGUAGUUGGAUCUCAGUUCCAGACGAGUAGUGCAUCUACCCGAUGCGACGGCUCGGACUGAACAUCAUGCCGGUCCUUUCUUGGUGCACUUCAUUGUGUGCCUCGAGAAGGCCGGUGCUUUUACUUUGAAAAAAUUAGAGUGCUCAACGCAGGCGAGUCGCCUGAAUAAACUUGCAUGGAAUAAUAGAACAAGACCUCGUUUCUGUUCUGUUGGUUUUUGGAAUACGAGGUAAUGAUUAAGAGGGACAGACGGGGGCAUUCGUAUUGCGGCGCUAGAGGUGAAAUUCUUGGACCGUCGCAAGACGAACUACUGCGAAAGCAUUUGCCAAGAAUGUUUUCUUUGAUCAAGAACGAAAGUCAGAGGUUCGAAGGCGAUCAGAUACCGCCCUAGUUCUGACCAUAAACGAUGCCAACCAGCGAUCCGCCUGAGUUACUCAAAUGACUCGGCGGGCAGCUUCCGGGAAACCAAAGUGUUUGGGUUCCGGGGGAAGUAUGGUUGCAAAGCUGAAACUUAAAGGAAUUGACGGAAGGGCACCACCAGGAGUGGAGCCUGCGGCUUAAUUUGACUCAACACGGGAAAACUUACCCGGCCCGGACACUGGGAGGAUUGACAGAUUGAGAGCUCUUUCUUGAUUCGGUGGAUGGUGGUGCAUGGCCGUUCUUAGUUGGUGGAGCGAUUUGUCUGGUUAAUUCCGAUAACGAACGAGACUCUAGCCUAUUAAAUAGGUGCGGGGUUCCCAGCACCUUACAACCUUCUUAGAGGGACAAGCGGCUCCUAGCCGCACGAAACAGAGCAAUAACAGGUCUGUGAUGCCCUUAGAUGUCCGGGGCCGCACGCGCGCUACACUGAAGGAAGCAGCGUGUCUUUAUCCCUGUCUGAAAGGACUGGGUAACCCGUGGAACUUCUUUCGUGAUUGGGACACACGCGAGACAGAUGUUCCCCUUGAACGAGGAAUUCCCAGUAAGCGCGAGUCAUAAGCUCGCGUUGAUUACGUCCCUGCCCUUUGUACACACCGCCCGUCGCUACUACCGAUUGAAUGAUUUAGUGAGGUCUUCGGACCGAUGUCCGGCGCGGCCUUUCGGUUGCGCCGGUCUGUUGGAAAGAUGACCAAACUUGAUCAUUUAGAGGAAGUAAAAGUCGUAACAAGGUUUCCGUAGGUGAACCUGCGGAAGGAUCAUUA